Molecule: ribosomal RNA, 72 nt
Filed under: Epicoccum sorghinum
Lineage: Eukaryota; Fungi; Ascomycota; Dothideomycetes; Pleosporales; Didymellaceae
Description: 5.8S ribosomal RNA
Source: RNAcentral
AUGGGGCAUGCCUGUUCGAGCGUCAUUUGUACCUUCAAGCUCUGCUUGGUGUUGGGUGUUUGUCUCCUGUAG